This 403-nucleotide ribosomal RNA is filed under the name bacterium. Its description in RNAcentral is "partial 16S ribosomal RNA". It matches the Rfam family "Bacterial small subunit ribosomal RNA", at positions 355 to 776 of the family's 1533-position model. The record is from RNAcentral.
UGGGGAAUAUUGCACAAUGGGGGAAACCCUGAUGCAGCGACGCCGCGUGAACGAAGAAGGUAUUCGUAUCGUAAAGUUCUGUCCUAUGGGAAGAUAAUGACAGUACCAUAGAAGAAAGCUCCGGCUAAAUACGUGCCAGCAGCCGCGGUAAUACGUAUGGAGCGAGCGUUGUCCGGAAUUAUUGGGCGUAAAGGGUACGCAGGCGGUUUAAUAAGUCGAAUGUUAAAGAUCGGGGCUCAACCCCGUAAAGCAUUGGAAACUGAUAAACUUGAGUAGUGGAGAGGAAAGUGGAAUUCCUAGUGUAGUGGUGAAAUACGUAGAUAUUAGGAGGAAUACCAGUAGCGAAGGAGACUUUCUGGACACAAACUGACGCUGAGGUACGAAAGCGUGGGGAGCAAACAGG